This 1725-nucleotide long non-coding RNA is filed under the name Gossypium barbadense (sea-island cotton). Its description in RNAcentral is "long non-coding RNA (GBAR_LNC023346)". The record is from RNAcentral. Lineage: Eukaryota; Viridiplantae; Streptophyta; Magnoliopsida; Malvales; Malvaceae.
GCAGAUUGAAGCCAGAGAUCUUAUCUCCCCGAGAUUACAGCGGAGCAGAUCGAAGACACUAUCCUAUCUCCCUGAAGUUACAGUGGAGUGGGUUAAAAUAAAGGAUCUUAUCUCUCUGAGGUUACAGUGGAGUAGACCGAAGAAUUGCAGAUCUUAUCCCCCUGAAGUUACAGUGGAGCAGAUUGAAGCCAGAGAUCUUAUCUCCCCGAGAUUACAGCGGAGCAGAUCGAAGACACUAUCCUAUCUCCCUGAAGUUACAGUGGAGUGGGUUAAAAUAAAGGAUCUUAUCUCUCUGAGGUUACAGCAGAGUAGGUCGCAUCAAGUCUUAUUUCCCUGAAGAUGCAGUGGAAUAGAUUGAAAACCACAAACCUCGUCCCCCUGAAGUUGCUACGAAGAAGAUAAAGGCUACAGGACGCAUCUCUCUAAAAUGCAGUGGAAUGGAUCGAAGCGACAAGACCUAGUGGACUGGAAUGAAACUACUUGAAAUGGAGAAGUACCAGAACAAGUCAAGACUCGGCAAGACCGGGCAAAAUGGGCCUUUCUUAGUCUUUGCUCUGUUAUCGUUACACGACAACGAGCAAAGAGGGGCAGCUGUUGCAGGCCCAUUUGCCCGGGCCCAAGAAAGAAACAAAAGAACCCAUACCAGCAGACCCACCAACUCCGCCGUUCACUUGCUGGCCGCCGCACGUCCCAUCGCUGCUCACCUGCUCCACCUGCUCUGCCGCUCCCAUGCCACUUGCACCUGCAAAGAGAAACAAACACGCAAGCAGAAACGAAGACAAAUUUUUUUCUUUCUUUCGGCUAUAAAAAGCCAGAUUUAAUAUGUAAACGGGGGCUUCGGGAUUUUGGGUAUCAAAGAAGGAAUUAACAACAAUCAGUGAAUAAUAAGAAGAUAAAAAAAAAAGCGAAAGAAAAGGUUGAUUUCAAAUCAUUUUCUCAGAUCUUGCGUUUUAUUUACUGUCUUCUGUUAUUUUUUAUUUUAUUUAUUUUCUACAACUCUUUUAACGAAACAAAAAUAGGAAUAGGGGUUACCUGUGCUACGUCGAAAGGGGAAGGACGAGCGGUCUCUCCUCGUUCUUCAAGUUUCGGACCUCCUUUUUCGGAUUUAGCCCUUCGAUUCGUGCUUGAGAUGCACUAAACUUCGAAAAGGAUAAAAAAAAUCUGAUUUUGGAUACUCCGGCCACCAUACGCGGCGGCGCUAGGGCGGAGAAUCGCCGGAGGCCUAGUUCGGCCGAUGACCAGCGCCGGGCCUGAAAGAAUGAGAGAGAGACUCUCCCUCUCAGUUUUUUUUUUUUCUGAAAAAUGAAUCUGAUUUGUUUUUUUUGUUUUUUCUAUUAUUUAUAUUCAAAAUGAAACGACGUCGUUUUAGCAAAGGGGGAUCCGCGCGUCGACCCGACCCGACCCGAAGGAUCCGCGUGUUUUAGUUUUUUGGGCAAUUUAUGCGCGCAGUCCCUCUGAUUCGCGGCGUGUUUCAAUUUGGUCCUAUUUUGUUGUUUUAUUUUAUUUUGAUUUAGCCCUAACAUUUUAUUUUUGUUUUACUUUAGUCCAUUGAGGUGCUGCGUUUUGGGAUUUUGGGUUUAUUUUCUGUUUCGGUCCUUCCCUUUUUUACGCGCGUCGCAAUUGGAUCCCUUUCGUUUUCCUUUAUUUCGAAUUGGCCCUAUAGGUUUUAUUUCAUUUCGAUUUAAGGCCCCUUUUUAUUAUUUAGUCAAUUUUUGUUAACUUUAU